UGGGGAAUAUUGCACAAUGGGGGAAACCCUGAUGCAGCGACGCCGCGUGAAGGAAGAAGUAUCUCGGUAUGUAAACUUCUAUCAGCAGGGAAGAUAAUGACGGUACCUGACUAAGAAGCCCCGGCUAACUACGUGCCAGCAGCCGCGGUAAUACGUAGGGGGCAAGCGUUAUCCGGAUUUACUGGGUGUAAAGGGAGCGUAGACGGACUGGCAAGUCUGAUGUGAAAAAGCCCGGGGGACUCAACCCCCAGGGACUGCAUUUGGAAACUGUCAGUCUAGAGUGUCGGAGGGGUAAGUGGAAUUCCUAGUGUAGCGGUGAAAUGCGUAGAUAUUAGGAGGAACACCAGUGGCGAAGGCGGCUUACUGGACGAUAACUGACGUUGAGGCUCGAAAGCGUGGGGAGCAAACAGGAUUAGAUACC
This 421-nucleotide ribosomal RNA is filed under the name uncultured bacterium. RNAcentral describes it as "bacterial SSU rRNA". It matches the Rfam family "Bacterial small subunit ribosomal RNA", at positions 355 to 786 of the family's 1533-position model. The record is from RNAcentral.